UACGUAGGUGGCAAGCGUUGUCCGGAAUUAUUGGGCGUAAAGCGCGCGUAGGUGGUUUGAUAAGUUGGAUGUGAAAGCCCCGGGCUCAACCUGGGAAUUGCAUCCAAAACUGUCUGACUAGAGUACGGUAGAGGGUAGUGGAAUUUCCUGUGUAGCGGUGAAAUGCGUAGAUAUAGGAAGGAACACCAGUGGCGAAGGCGACUACCUGGACUGAUACUGACACUGAGGUGCGAAAGCGUGGGGAGCAAACAGG
RNAcentral lists this ribosomal RNA (253 nucleotides) under uncultured Pseudomonas sp. Its description in RNAcentral is "partial 16S ribosomal RNA". It matches the Rfam family "Bacterial small subunit ribosomal RNA", at positions 524 to 776 of the family's 1533-position model. The record is from RNAcentral. Lineage: Bacteria; Pseudomonadati; Pseudomonadota; Gammaproteobacteria; Pseudomonadales; Pseudomonadaceae.